GCCGACGUGGUGAAAUUGGUAGACACGCCGUCUUGAGGGGGCGGUGGCGCAAGCCGUGGCAGUUCGAGUCUGCUCGUCGGCACCA
This 85-nucleotide transfer RNA is filed under the name Betaproteobacteria bacterium CG2_30_59_46. RNAcentral's name for it is "tRNA-Leu". It matches the Rfam family "tRNA". Rfam says of the family: Transfer RNA (tRNA) molecules are approximately 80 nucleotides in length. Their secondary structure includes four short double-helical elements and three loops (D, anti-codon, and T loops). Further hydrogen bonds mediate the characteristic L-shaped molecular structure. tRNAs have two regions of fundamental functional importance: the anti-codon, which is responsible for specific mRNA codon recognition, and the 3' end, to which the tRNAs corresponding amino acid is attached (by aminoacyl-tRNA synthetases). tRNAs cope with the degeneracy of the genetic code in two manners: having more than one tRNA (with a specific anti-codon) for a particular amino acid; and 'wobble' base-pairing, i.e. permitting non-standard base-pairing at the 3rd anti-codon position. RNAcentral also lists the same sequence under 4 other names. The record is from RNAcentral. Lineage: Bacteria; Pseudomonadati; Pseudomonadota; Betaproteobacteria.